This 254-nucleotide ribosomal RNA is filed under the name uncultured bacterium. Its description in RNAcentral is "partial 16S ribosomal RNA". It matches the Rfam family "Bacterial small subunit ribosomal RNA", at positions 524 to 776 of the family's 1533-position model. The record is from RNAcentral.
UACGAAGGGGACUAGCGUUGUUCGGAUUUACUGGGCGUAGAGGGCGCGUAGGCGGUCACGACAAGUCAGUUGUGAAAUCUCCGGGCUUAACUCGGAACGGUCAACUGAUACUGUCGGACUAGAGUGCAGAAGGGGCAACUGGAAUUCUCGGUGUAGCGGUGAAAUGCGUAGAUAUCGAGAGGAACACCUGCGGCGAAGGCGGGUUGCUGGGCUGACACUGACGCUGAGGCGCGAAAGCCAGGGGAGCGAACGGG